AACGCUUAUGCUAGUGCUAAUGGGGAUCCUAAUAAAGAAUAAAGAAUAAAGUUAACGAGCAUCUGACUAGUAUUGCCUACACUUUAUAUAUAUAUAUAUUAUAUAUAUGUUAGAGUGUAGGCAAAAGUUGUUAACAAUGCAAUGUCAUAUUCUGAACCUCUCUACUACUGACCUUUCUGCAACUCUGAAAAUAAUUAAAUUUGAAGAUAAUUUAUUUGAAGUUUUCUGGCUGUACACACAUGGUUGAGUGCAUUAACAUGUAAUGCUAAGAAUAUCUGUUGAUGACUCAUCUGUGACAUUACUGUGGGUGUCACCCACAUGCUCACCUCACAGUUCUUCUUUUGGUUCUUUUAAACAAACUGGAAACCAUUUGUAUGCCAAUUAUUUAUCUACUUGGCACAUAUUGAUUAUAAGAUAUAAUAACAAUUCCUUAAAGGAAACAAGAUCCUGGUGCAGAAUAAUGUCAAGAAACUCAGAAUAAAAAUCUAUCUGUCAAAAAAUAGAAACACCUGCACUGUGAUUCAGAUUGAUUUCACAUGAUAAAAUUGUGUUUAUGUUGGGCUGUUCUUUCCUGCCGUGUGAAGAAGUUUUGAUAUGCAGGAAGCGCCGAACAUCAAACACACUUCCUCCCUCAUCAAUUCCUAAUAAGACCUUGUGAAAGGAAGACAGGAAAUCAAUUAAGCUCCAUCACAGGGUUUUUACCUCCCGCUGUCAGGAUGGGACCUGGAGCUCUGGACUGCAGUAGGACGGAGACAGAAGAGAGGGAGGUGAUGGAGGUGGAGCUCGAGGUGGUGGACAUCCUAUCGAUCUUGCCUUCGCCAUCUGAUUUCUCGUCGGCGCUCAGGGAGUCCACAUCUCCGUCACCGCCGAGCACGAAGCCCAGAGCCUGCAGCGCCUGAGGAGCGAACACAAAUUAUUCAUUACCUUCAGUAAAUAGUCUGUCUCUACUGCAUUAAACAGUCAUCUAAAUAUAGAAGUAAUUGGUUCCCUAAUGUCCCAACACAUCCACAUCCAGUGUCGGUGAUUGAGCUGCCCUUGAGCAAGGCAGUGAACACUGACAGUGCUGCAGUGAGGCUGCAGAAUGGCCAUCCUCAUCAUCAUUAACACAAACCCAGCCUGUGAAUGUGUAACUGAAUGUAUACUGAACAACAGAAAGUGUGAGCAGUCAAACUUUACAAGUUUAAUAGAAAUGUUUGUCACAAAAAGAUCCUCAUCUGUUCUCGCAUCAAUUGAAAAAAUGUAUUUUUGUCCAAGUUAGUUAGAUAGAAUAGAAUCGGAGGAUGAACCCCUCUUUAUUAGUCACAUACAUGCACACAGCAGAGCACACACAGUGAAAUUGGUCCUCUGCAUUUAACCCAUCCUAGUACUAGGAGCAGUGGGCAGCUAUCGUGCAGCGCCCGGGGAGCAAUGGGGAGGGGGAUUGGAGGUGUCGGGUGCCUUGCUCAAGGGCACCACAGCAGGGCCCAGGAGGUGAACUGGGACCUCUCCAAGUAGCAGUCCACUUUCUAUAUUUCAAGUCUGUUCGGGGACUUGAACCGGCAACCCUACGAUUCCCAGUCCAAGCCCCUACUGACUGAGCCACUGCUGGACAAAUGCGGUCUCUGCAUUUGACCCAUCCUAGUGUUAGGAGCAGUGGGCUGCCAUUAUGUACGGCGCCCGGGGAGCAGUGUAGGUAACCAGUGUCUUGCUCAGGGACACCACGGUGGCACUUGGUCUUUCGGGGACUUGAACUGGUGACCUUCCAGUUCCCAGGCCAACACCCUAUGGACUUUGCCACCACCGCCGUUUGUUGUUUAAUAUCUAACUCCAAGCAUAGUUGUUAUUGUUAUUAUUAUGUGGGCUGUUGCUCAAUUGUAUCUACAUGUGAUUUGUCUUAAAAGAAAAAAGGAGCGACAGAAGAGAAACAAAUAUUCUUUUUUUUCUUCAUGAAUUUGGUCACAAAAAAAGUCACUUCCAUUUGUAGAGAAAUAUUACGGGAAUCCCUAAGGGGACAUGCACAAGGUAUUGAAUGUAGCUCUCUGCUUGUGAAUUUGAUUGAUGUCAUUUCCCUUUAAUAGUAAAGUAUAUUUUAUUCCUAUAUAUUAUACAGCCCCGGAAAAAAUUAACCACUUCAGCAUUAUCAUUUUCUCUUGUUUAAAAAUGUAUAAAUUAAAUAAUUAAUUAUUGUUUGUUGUAUUGUAUUCUAUAAAAUACUGACAACAUUUCUUUGUGUUGGAAUUCAACAGGCUGCCAUACAUGUAGAGAUAAAGAUUUAAGAACAAUUUGGAGUGGUCUCUUAAUUUUUUCCAGAGCUGUAUACCAUGUAUUGAACAUGGGGAAUACCUUGAGGGCCACUUGGAGCUUGGUCGUCCUCUUGGAGUUGCCCGUGGCCUGGUAAGUGGUUCCCUGGAUGUCCACAGACAUGGUGAAGACCGGGGCGUGCACUGGGCCGGACUGGGACAGCAGGCGGUACUGGAGGCCCGGGUGGAUCUGGUUGAGACGCAUGAGAGCGUUCAUGGGGUGGUUAGGAUCCGUCAUCCUCCAGUCCAGGACUAAGGGAGGAGAGAUGCACGUGUUAACUGUGGGCUUAUAUAACCCUAAAGAGAAAUUAGAUAGUGCUAACACACAACAACAGGAACUAUGAAGACCAUUUGGAAACCUUAAUCUGGAAAUUGAACGAAAUGUAAUCACAUUACAAAGUUGUUCCAAACUUCGUCCCAGAAUACUGCUGUAAAAAACACCACAAGAAAGUGUUUGCAACAACAGCAUUGCACUUUUAUUCAUUUAGCAGUACUUUUGGGCAAUACACUACUUCUGAAUUCAUUAUUGAAUUUUGCGCAUAACAACAAACGUUUUAAUCGUAGGAUUACAUAUAAAAUUAUUUCAAAUAAACCCAACAACUGCAUGCAAGAACUGAAAGGCUAAUGAUAAUCAAUAGUACUUAAAGUUCAAUUUCGACCCAAACAGUCUCCAGAUUUUACUGCUGUUAAAAACAUAUUUAGAGUGCACGGAGCAGUGUUCACUGACUUUUUUAUUUUCCCUAAAGACGGAUACUGAUGUGUUUAGUAUUUUAAGCUGCCAUUUUAGAUAUCUGGAUGUAUUUUUCUUCAGAGUAAGGCGACCCAGAUUCAUUUCUGUUCUGAAUGAAAUUCAAUGGGCAAACUUGAAAUGUAUAGCAUUUAUAGCAGGAUAACAUUUUAAAAAGGACAUAUUGUGCUCAUUUUCAGGUUCAU
Long non-coding RNA from Eleginops maclovinus (Patagonian blennie), 3212 nucleotides. RefSeq lists it as uncharacterized. The record is from RefSeq and is a predicted model, not a curated record. The transcript has 3 exons. NCBI's taxonomy places the organism in Eukaryota, Metazoa, Chordata, Actinopteri, Perciformes, Eleginopidae.